Molecule: ribosomal RNA, 350 nt
Filed under: uncultured bacterium
Lineage: Bacteria
Description: bacterial SSU rRNA
Rfam family: Bacterial small subunit ribosomal RNA
Source: RNAcentral
GUCGUCAGCUCGUGUCGUGAGAUGUUGGGUUAAGUCCCGCAACGAGCGCAACCCUUGAUCUUAGUUGCCAUCAUUCAGUUGGGCAUCUAAGGUGACCCGGUGACAAACCGGAGGAAGGUGGGGAUGACGUCAAAUCAUCAUGCCCCUUAUGACCUGGGCUACACACGUGCUACAAUGGACGGUACAAAGAGCUGCAAGACCGCGAGGUGGAGCUAAUCUCAUAAAACCGUUCUCAGUUCGGAUUGUAGGCUGCAACUCGCCUACAUGAAGCUGGAAUCGCUAGUAAUCGCGGAACUGCAUGCCGGGGUGAAUACGUUCCCGGGUCUUUGUACACACGCAUCCCUACUGAA